CAAGCUCUUGUCUGUGAAGUCAAAAGCAUCCACUAGUGGAACAGCAUCCUUCCUAAGGAGUAGAGGAAAGGCAUUCGUAUUAGUUAAGUCACUUAAGUAGGACCUUACACACAGUAGCAGCUCACUUCUCUGCACCAGAUGUUAAUCUGCUCUUAACAACACUGAGCAGUGAAAAGAUCAGCCCUUUGUGGAAAAGCCUAUGUGAGCAUUGUGGGACAAACUGAAUGGCUGUGUAACUCCUCUUGAGCUAGAGUGGCUCACCGAAUGACACCCAGGAGGUCCAGGUAUGACGCUGUGAUCA
This is a long non-coding RNA of Cygnus olor (mute swan), 301 nucleotides long. RefSeq lists it as uncharacterized. Lineage: Eukaryota; Metazoa; Chordata; Aves; Anseriformes; Anatidae. The record is from RefSeq and is a predicted model, not a curated record. The transcript is spliced from 3 exons.